Molecule: ribosomal RNA, 594 nt
Filed under: uncultured bacterium
Lineage: Bacteria
Description: bacterial SSU rRNA
Rfam family: Bacterial small subunit ribosomal RNA
Source: RNAcentral
AACGCGUAUGCAACCUACCUUUAUCAGGGGGAUAGCCUCUCGAAAGAGAGAUUAACACCGCAUAACAUCAUCGGAUGGCAUCAUCGGAUGAUCAAAUAUUUAUAGGAUAAAGAUGGGCAUGCGUGACAUUAGUUUGUUGGUGAGGUAACGGCUCACCAAGACUACGAUGUCUAGGGGAUCUGAGAGGAUGACCCCCCACACUGGUACUGAGACACGGACCAGACUCCUACGGGAGGCAGCAGUAAGGAAUAUUGGUCAAUGGACGCAAGUCUGAACCAGCCAUGCCGCGCGCAGGAAGACGGCCCUAUGGGUUGUAAACUGCUUUUAUUCGGGAAUAAACCCUUUUACGUGUAAGAGGUUGAAUGUACCGAAGGAAUUAGGAUCGGCUAACUCCGUGCCAGCAGCCGCGGUAAUACGGAGGAUCCAAGCGUUAUCCGGAUCUAUUGGGUUUAAAGGGUGCGUAGGCGGCUUUUUAAGUCAGGGGUGAAAGACGGUGGCUCAACCAUCGCAGUGCCUUUGAUACUGAAGAGCUUGAAUACACUAGAGGUAGGCGGAAUGUGACAAGUAGCGGUGAAAUGCAUAGAUAUGUCACAG